AAUAAUUUUGGUUUUUCAUAAAUAUUUGUGUGCCGAAAUGGCUGACAUUAGAAAAAUUAUAUCCAUGUUGAGGAAAUACACUCCUACCGUUCUUAAAUACACGGUACAAAUCUUUCACUGGGGCUUCAUCCCUUUCAUCCUAAUCGUGGGCUUCUCGAAGGGCUCCGAUGCCUCGCCGCUCUCGUUCGGGUGUCUUUUGUAAAUCAGAAACCGAAGGGGAUCCCCAAACAGAGAGACUUCUGGACGUAAGCAAAACUAAAAUUGUUAAGUAUAGACAUUUUUCAAAAGAUAGACCAACAAAGUGGAUAAGGCUUCCACAUGCCAAAUUAAAGUGAACCCGAACUUAAACGAUGACGAAGCAAGUCCCCGACCCCAUCAACACAAAUUUUAUUUCGGUUUUGAUUGAAACUCAAGCGAUGAUGUUCCAAAAUAUUGGAAAUACGAAUUUUUAUUUCGGUUUUCAUUGGAACACAAACGAAUGUGUUCCGAAACUAUGUUUCAACAAAUUUUUAUAUUUUUAACGGAUCAGGAAAAACGAAGAAUUCAUAAUGUAUACUUAGUUGGCACCAGUGAGCUGCACGACUUGCCAAUCGUGCACCAUCCAUCCACCAACUUGUCCAUAAGGCCGAUGUGUAGUUUGCGGACUAACUUUUCAAGCCUUUGAACGAAUAAAGCUGUAUAUUUUCUAAAUAUUACAAA
Molecule: long non-coding RNA, 699 nt
Organism: Scaptodrosophila lebanonensis
Lineage: Eukaryota; Metazoa; Arthropoda; Insecta; Diptera; Drosophilidae
Exons: 4
Source: RefSeq, a predicted model, not a curated record